Molecule: ribosomal RNA, 549 nt
Filed under: Macrophthalmus purpureocheir
Lineage: Eukaryota; Metazoa; Arthropoda; Malacostraca; Decapoda; Macrophthalmidae
Description: partial 16S rRNA
Rfam family: Bacterial large subunit ribosomal RNA
Source: RNAcentral
GUCUUUUUGGAAGUAAAAAAAGUCAAGCCUGCCCGCUGAAAUAAUUAUUUUUAAGGGCCGCGGUAUUUUGACCGUGCGAAGGUAGCGUAGUAAUUAGGUUUUUAAUUGGAAUCUUGUAUGAAUGGUUAGACAAGAGGAAGUCUGUCUCUUUAUUAAAAAUUGAAUUUAACUUUUAGGUGAAAAGGCUUAAAUGAUUUAAAGGGACGAUAAGACCCUAUAAAGCUUAAUAUUAAAUGCUACUUAGUUGAAUUGUCUAAUAAAGAUUUCGUGGCGUAGUUUUAUUUUAUUGGGGCGAUAGAGGUAAAAUGUUUACUAACUGCUUAGAUAAUAAACAUAGUUAAUUGAGAUAAAAAAAGGAGAUCCUAAAUAAAGAUUAUAAGUUUAAGUUACUUUAGGGAUAACAGCGUUAUUUUUUUAGAGAGUACGUAUCGAAAAAAGAGUUUGCGACCUCGAUGUUGAAUUAAAAUUUCUCUAUAGAUGCAGAGACUAUAAGAGUAGGUCUGUUCGACCUUUAAAAUUUUACAUGAUUUGAGUUCAAACCGGCGUGAG